RNAcentral lists this ribosomal RNA (349 nucleotides) under uncultured fungus. RNAcentral describes it as "SSU rRNA". It matches the Rfam family "Eukaryotic small subunit ribosomal RNA", at positions 254 to 602 of the family's 1831-position model. The record is from RNAcentral. Lineage: Eukaryota; Fungi.
CAUAAUACUUACGAAUCGCAUGGCUUGUGCCGGCGAUGGUUCAUUCAAAUUCUGCCCUAUCAACUUUCGAUGGUAGGAUAGUGGCCUACCAUGGUUUCAACGGGUAACGGGGAAUUAGGGUUCUAUUCCGGAGAGGGAGCCUGAGAAACGGCUACCACAUCCAAGGGAAGGCAGCAGGCGCGCAAAUUACCCAAUCCCGACACGGGGAGGUAGUGACAAUAAAUACUGAUACAGGGGCUCUUUUGGGUCUUGUAAUUGGAAUGAGUACAAUUUAAAUCCCUUAACGAGGAACAAUUGGAGGGCAAGUCUGGUGCCAGCAGCCGCGGUAAUUCCAGCUCCAAUAGCGUAU